AAAUUGAAAAGGCACACUUAUUGAAAAAUAAGGUCGCAAAGUUUUGGGUCUAAGGAAGUUAAUUCUAUGAUUGCCAAGCCACCAAA
RNAcentral lists this non-coding RNA (86 nucleotides) under Clostridium intestinale DSM 6191. Its description in RNAcentral is "GEMM cis-regulatory element". It matches the Rfam family "c-di-GMP-I riboswitch aptamer". Rfam says of the family: GEMM was predicted in a large-scale screen for bacterial structured RNA regulatory elements. Genes associated with GEMM are involved in a diverse array of functions, including chemotaxis regulation, signal transduction, secretion and chitin. The record is from RNAcentral. Lineage: Bacteria; Bacillati; Bacillota; Clostridia; Eubacteriales; Clostridiaceae.